UACGUAGGGUGCAAGCGUUAAUCGGAAUUACUGGGCGUAAAGCGUGCGCAGGCGGUUUUGUAAGUUUGUCGUGAAAGCCCCGGGCUCAACCUGGGAAUUGCGAUGAAGACUGCAAGGCUUGAAUCUGGCAGAGGGGGGUAGAAUUCCACGUGUAGCAGUGAAAUGCGUAGAGAUGUGGAGGAACACCGAUGGCGAAGGCAGCCCCCUGGGUCAAGAUUGACGCGUCAUGCACGAAAGCGUGGGGAGCAAACAGG
Molecule: ribosomal RNA, 254 nt
Filed under: uncultured bacterium
Lineage: Bacteria
Description: partial 16S ribosomal RNA
Rfam family: Bacterial small subunit ribosomal RNA
Source: RNAcentral